AUUGAACGCUGGCGGCAGGCCUAACACAUGCAAGUCGAACGAGUGGCGGACGGGUGAGUAAUGUCUGGGUAACUGCCUGAUGGAGGGGGAUAACUACUGGAAACGGUAGCUAAUACCGCAUACCAUCGGAUGUGCCCAGAUGGGAUUAGUUAGUAGGUGGGGUAACGGCUCACCUAGGCGACGAUCCCUAGCUGGUCUGAGAGGAUGACCAGCCACGCUGGGACUGAGACACGGUCCAGACUCCUGCGGGAGGCAGCAGUAGGGAAUAUUGCACAAUGGGCGCAGGCCUGAUGCAGCCGUGCCGCGUGUAUGAAGAAGGCCGUCGGGUUGUAAAGUACUUUCAGCGGGGAGGCGUUACCCGCAGGAGAAGCACCGGCUAACUCCAUGCCAGCAGCCACGGUAAUAC
RNAcentral lists this ribosomal RNA (406 nucleotides) under uncultured bacterium. RNAcentral describes it as "partial 16S ribosomal RNA". It matches the Rfam family "Bacterial small subunit ribosomal RNA", at positions 30 to 526 of the family's 1533-position model. The record is from RNAcentral.